AGCAGCAUGGCUUAGUGGAUAGAGCACUGGCCUGGUAGUCAGAAGGAACUGGGUUCUAAUCCUGGUUCUGCCA
This 73-nucleotide transfer RNA is filed under the name Ornithorhynchus anatinus (platypus). It matches the Rfam family "tRNA". From Rfam's summary of the family: Transfer RNA (tRNA) molecules are approximately 80 nucleotides in length. Lineage: Eukaryota; Metazoa; Chordata; Mammalia; Monotremata; Ornithorhynchidae. The record is from Rfam by way of RNAcentral.